This is a non-coding RNA of Pelodiscus sinensis (Chinese soft-shelled turtle), 1184 nucleotides long. The record is from RefSeq and is a predicted model, not a curated record. NCBI's taxonomy places the organism in Eukaryota, Metazoa, Chordata, Testudines, Trionychidae.
AUGUGCAACUGUCUGUCCAACUGUUUGUUCAAGAACUCCUCCUAAAUGAUAAGAGCUAGGACCACCACAUUCGCUAUACAGUGUUCUCCUAUCAUCACUUAAAGCAAGGUACUGCCCACCCUCUUUAUUGGCCAGACUGAGAGCACCUUCUGGCACAGGGAAGUGGACCUACUUCAUUUAAAAAUGCCAGCCUUCCUGCAACACUAUGUUAUACAGGAGGAUUUGGCAGAGAUCUAUUGGCUGCAAAGUGGGCCCUGCUCAAUCCGCAGAGCUGGAAGGAACGCUGAGAAGUCCCACAAAACCGCCCCUCCCAGGAUUUCAGAUGUUUAGGAGAAAAAGGGAACCAUUCACUAGAACCUUCUCUCUGUUGUUCCAUGAGUCCCUGAGCUAAGGGGUAUACGUCCCAGGAGUAUGUUCCAUUCCACUCCUGGACGCAAAAGAAGCACGACAGCCAAGAUUUCCAAGUCCAACAUUGACUCAGUUAUACAUGCGUGUCCAUAUUAAAGACAAUGAAACAAAUUCUCUUUUCACUGUAUCUGUGCAAUUAAAGCACAUUUAUACACCUUGGAAGAUAUAGCCCUAGGAGCCGUAGAGCUGACUGAAAACUGGAAACAAAUAUUCAUUGAACAAAUUAUUCAAUUAAUAUUAGUGUUGUUCAUUUAAUAAUUUAUUCAGCAAAUACUAUUUGUCCACAAAGAAUGAUCUGACAAAUUAAUUAUUUGACAAAAUGUGCCGAAUAAUGCAUAUGAAAUGAUAUUUUGAUUAUUUGUUCCGGCAGAGUGUAACUCAGGGCAGAACUUGAUCUACUGAUUCUUUAGUAGCAGUGGUAUUACUCAAGCAAGGAGGAGUACGAACAGAUUUUCAGAUUUAAAAAAUAAGGGUGAAGGGCUAGCACAUAAUAAACAUAUUUCUUUAUUUGAAAAUUGAGCAUUUUGACCCAGAAAAAAAGUGACAGUGUCAUUUUUACAGAGUCAGUUUUCAAGAUUGUAUCUCAUUUUAAAAUUAAAUGAAAAUGAAAGGCAUCAUUAUUUUUAGUUUGUGGCAUGUGUGUGCAUGCAUACUGUGCGGGAAUACAUUCUGAUUGCUCUACAGAAGUCAUUACUCUUAUUUAUUGGGUAACAGACUAGUUAUAAUAGCUAAAAAAUCGAUAUUAAUGGCUGAGGAACAAGUUCAGGUUGACCAAA